Molecule: long non-coding RNA, 406 nt
Filed under: Equus caballus (horse)
Lineage: Eukaryota; Metazoa; Chordata; Mammalia; Perissodactyla; Equidae
Description: lncRNA (ENSECAG00000051679.1)
Source: RNAcentral
AGAAUGAAAGCCAAGAAUGUGAGGUCACAGCUGGCUCUGGUCACUAACCAUUUUCAACUAGAGACAAAUGAAUGGACCUUGCGUUAGUCUCCCGUACUCCUCAGGAAGGACGCUUGAGUUAAUUUCAGAGUUUGAUUUGAGAGCCCCAGCCAAUGAACCUAAGAUAGGUAGAGAGGAAAACAAUUUUUUUCCUCCCCUACAAAGCCUGCACAAGCCACUUGGUUCUUCCGUCUCUCCCCUCUGUCUUGCAAUCAGACUGCCAGCAAGUGAACCGAGAGGUGAAGAGCAGCUGUGCUUCUCCAGCUAAAAAGUUGCAAGCUGCUCAGCAUGAGGAGAAGGGGAUGCGAAGAGGCAGCGAAUCUUGCCCAUCAGGAGGCGUGGAGCUCUAUCACCUGGACUUCCUAGG